GAUGAACGCUGGCGGCGUGCCUAAUACAUGCAAGCCGAGCGAAUGGAUUAAGAGCUUGCUCUUAUGAAGUUAGCGGCGGACGGGUAAGUAACACGUGGGUAACCUGCCCAUAAGACUGGGAUAACUCCGGGAAACCGGGGCUAAUACCGGAUAACAUUUUGAACCGCAUGGUUCGAAAUUGAAAGGCGGCUUCGGCUGUCACUUAUGGAUGGACCCGCGUCGCAUUAGCUAGUUGGUGAGGUAACGGCUCACCAAGGCAACGAUGCGUAGCCGACCUGAGAGGGUGAUCGGCCACACUGGGACUGAGACACGGCCCAGACUCCUACGGGAGGCAGCAGUAGGGAAUCUUCCGCAAUGGACGAAAGUCUGACGGAGCAACGCCGCGUGAGUGAUGAAGGCUUUCGGGUCGUAAAACUCUGUUGUUAGGGAAGAACAAGUGCUAGUUGAAUAAGCUGCACCUUGACGGUACCUAACCAGAAAGCCACGGCUAACUACGUGCCAGCCGCCGCAGUAA
This 514-nucleotide ribosomal RNA is filed under the name uncultured bacterium. Its description in RNAcentral is "partial 16S ribosomal RNA". It matches the Rfam family "Bacterial small subunit ribosomal RNA", at positions 28 to 523 of the family's 1533-position model. The record is from RNAcentral.